Molecule: long non-coding RNA, 554 nt
Filed under: Cricetulus griseus (Chinese hamster)
Lineage: Eukaryota; Metazoa; Chordata; Mammalia; Rodentia; Cricetidae
Description: lncRNA (ENSCGRG00015041712.1)
Source: RNAcentral
ACCAAAACCAGUGCUACUAGCUGGGGACCAGGCAUCCUAACACAAGUGUCCAAAACAUUUCACCUUCAAAACACAAAAGAGUCGAAGUGUGGCUCCUCUUGCUGCUUUCUUAAACUUGUUUUCUUUUUAAAGAUUUUAACUUUUUUAAAGGAACACUCAUUUGAGAGAAAGAGAGGACAGAGGAAAAAAAGAGAAGACAGAGAGGGAGAAUCAUGUAUGUAGAUGCCUACAGAAGCCAGACAAGAGCAUCAGAGUCACUGGACAUUGGAGUUACAAGAGAACUUGUUCUAGGUUGUUUGAGGAUCUGUGACUCAGGAACUCUGUGGGGAGAGAAGAAUUUCUUUUGCUUGGCUGAGGUUGCCUGACUGCAACAUAGUUCAGUGUGUACCCACUUUCAGGGUUCUUCUUCACACACAAGCAUUUUAGGCUUAGUGUUCAUGGAGAGAAGGGCUUCGUCAUUCCUGGGGCUCUGUAUUAGGAGAACAUAAAUCUUUUGGUCCUUCUCAUCUUCUCUGCAGCAACCAACAGCAACAUGUUUCUUCUGUUGGUAUCCA